RNAcentral lists this long non-coding RNA (328 nucleotides) under Aquilegia coerulea. RNAcentral describes it as "long non-coding RNA (ACOE_LNC000385)". The record is from RNAcentral. Lineage: Eukaryota; Viridiplantae; Streptophyta; Magnoliopsida; Ranunculales; Ranunculaceae.
UUUUGUUUUACUUCCACCACAUUGGUUUUUCUGGUUAGAUCUAUAGUCAUAGUUGAAAAAAUCGUGAAUAUCUGGCGAAAUCAUCCGUUUUUUUUGGCAAUUCGGAUCGGUACGAAUCACGGAUCAUGAUCGAAUCACAAACCCCACCAUUCCGACUGAAAUUUUUGAAUAUCCAUAAAAAUCCAAGCAAAUUUUGAAAAUUGACUCGAAUCUCCGGUUCUUUCCUAAAAAGAAACAGUGUUUUCUAAAAUGGUAAAUCUUCAAAAACCAAGAUCUUGUAUAUCUGUAGUAUUUUGGAGAAUAUCUUCUUAAAACUUCGUCGAUUUGC